UGGGGAAUAUUGGACAAUGGGCGCAAGCCUGAUCCAGCAAUGCCGCGUGUGUGAAGAAGGCCUUCGGGUUGUAAAGCACUUUUAUCAGGAGCGAAACGCUGUCGGCUAAUACCCGGCGGAACUGACGGUACCUGAGGAAUAAGCACCGGCUAACUUCGUGCCAGCAGCCGCGGUAAUACGAAGGGUGCAAGGUUAAUCGGAAUUACUGGGCGUAAAGCGUGCGUAGGCGGUUUCUUAAGUCUGCUGUGAAAUCCCCGGGCUCAACCUGGGAAUGGCAGUGGAUACUGGGAGGCUAGAGUGUGUCAGAGGUGGUGGAAUUCCCGGUGUAGCGGUGAAAUGCGUAGAGAUCGGGAGGAACAUCAGUGGCGAAGGCGGCCACCUGGGACAACACUGACGCUGAGGCACGAAAGCGUGGGGAGCAAACAGGAUUAGAUACCCUGGUAGUCCACGCCCUAAACGAUGCGAACUGGAUGUUGGUCUCAACUCGGAGAUCAGUGUCGAAGCUAACGCGUUAAGUUCGCCGCCUGGGGAGUACGGUCGCAAGACUGAAACUUAAAUGAAUUGACGGGGUCAUAGCUGUUUCCUG
Molecule: ribosomal RNA, 586 nt
Filed under: uncultured bacterium
Lineage: Bacteria
Description: partial 16S ribosomal RNA
Rfam family: Bacterial small subunit ribosomal RNA
Source: RNAcentral